UCUUUCCUCAUGUCGUCGAGUAUCUCUGGAAUGGAAAAUACUAGCCCAACGGAACCGAAUGAAGGCAAUCGUGUCGUAGAUAAUGCAACACGGGAUUAAAAACAGCACCGGGAUCCAGGGGCACUUAACCACCAACCACGAAAGCAUCCCAUGCAAGCUCAUCUUGAGGCCAACUCAGUGUCCGGAGCCGUUUCCUUUCAAUAUGGCUCCCAAGCAGUCCUUGAUUUCGAAGACGUCAGCUUCAAAGUCGGUUCAGGUACACCAACCACCUAUGCCAAUGGUACACUAACACACGUGCACUCCACCGUCCAUGGAUAGUGAGAAUGAUGUGUCGUCAGGUGGAAAUGCUAAGGGCCCAUCGUGUAUGAACGUUAUAUGAGCCAACCAUCAGAGCCAAGUUCGGGAGUUGAAGAAAAAAAAAUCUCUCUUUACCUGGCUUUGUAAGGACCUACUAUGGCCGGUGAGGGCUUAAGUCUGUCUUGUAUCGCAUGAGAGAUUCACACCUGACGCGAUUUGUUUGUCCACACAUUUUUGAUAGGCAACCGUUGCUAUCAAGAGGACUCCUUUCCUAAUAUCUCAUUUUUAUAUAAGUCA
Molecule: long non-coding RNA, 594 nt
Organism: Tigriopus californicus
Lineage: Eukaryota; Metazoa; Arthropoda; Copepoda; Harpacticoida; Harpacticidae
Exons: 2
Source: RefSeq, a predicted model, not a curated record